ACGCGAAGAACCUUACCAGGUCUUGACAUCUUGCGCCAACCCUAGAGAUAGGGCGUUUCCUUCGGGAACGCAAUGACAGGUGGUGCAUGGUCGUCGUCAGCUCGUGUCGUGAGAUGUUGGGUUAAGUCCCGCAACGAGCGCAACCCUUGUUACUAGUUGCCAGCAUUAAGUUGGGCACUCUAGUGAGACUGCCGGUGACAAACCGGAGGAAGGUGGGGACGACGUCAGAUCAUCAUGCCCCUUAUGACCUGGGCUACACACGUGCUACAAUGGACGGUACAACGAGUCGCGAACUCGCGAGGGCAAGCAAAUCUCUUAAAACCGUUCUCAGUUCGGACUGCAGGCUGCAACUCGCCU
RNAcentral lists this ribosomal RNA (357 nucleotides) under bacterium enrichment culture DGGE gel band MRS18. Its description in RNAcentral is "bacterial SSU rRNA". It matches the Rfam family "Bacterial small subunit ribosomal RNA", at positions 959 to 1317 of the family's 1533-position model. The record is from RNAcentral.